Long non-coding RNA from Oncorhynchus tshawytscha (Chinook salmon), 420 nucleotides. RefSeq lists it as uncharacterized. The transcript is spliced from 3 exons. The record is from RefSeq and is a predicted model, not a curated record. Lineage: Eukaryota; Metazoa; Chordata; Actinopteri; Salmoniformes; Salmonidae.
GCUCUUCUCCAUCGCUGAACCCUCUGCCUUGACUAGAAGACCAUAAGAGCACAAAAUGCACACCAUAUUAUACCCGGCCACAGCUAUCUAUCUUGCUACUGGUGUGUUGUUCUCUUCGCUACGACAACGGAAAUUGCUGUCUUUACCUGAGCGUCUUUCCGUGCCACGGCGCGCAGGUGGUUGGCUGGUGCUCCCAGACUGGAGGAAAAGGGAUGGAAAACACAACAGGCAGAAAUGUUUGUCAGUGACUCCUAAACUGCGGAUGUUGAAGAGAUCUUUGAGUCAGAAACCUUUAUAAGUUAGUUAUAUAAGAAAGACCUGACUGGAAAUGUCUUUUUCUUUUUAUGUCAGUCAACUGUAGAUGAAGGGCUUUGUUUUUAUUGACCUGUUUUAUUGACCUGUCUAAUAAAUAGCUCAUGU